UCCCUUAGUAGGGGCGACCGAACCGGGAAGAGCUCAGCGCGAAGCCCGCGAGUUUCUGUCCUUCGGACUUGGGACUCGCCGGGGAUGCCGCGUAUGGGACGAGAUCUGGACGGCCCCAACCUCGCCUAAGUUUUUAUUGAACGUAAUCUCGCGGCCCGCAGAGGGUGUAAGGCCCGUCCGGCGAAGAGUUGGUGGAUCUGUCCGCGAUCUCGUCUCGAGAGUCGGGUUGCUUGAGAGUGCAGCCCUAAGCAGGUGGUAAACUCCAUCUAAGGCUAAAUAUGACCACGAGACCGAUAGCGCACAAGUACCGCGAGGGAAAGUUGAAAAGAACUCUGAAGAGAGAGUUAAAGAGAGCGUGAAACUACCACGAGGUUAAAGCGGAUGGACAUUCGUGGCUGAAAAGGUGGAUUCGUCUCGUCGGGCGUCCGUACCGAGGGUCGCGUUCGACCGUUUCCCGUCCCCCUACCUCUCGAGGGUGGGGAGCGACGGCGGAAGCGGCGCCGGCUCUCGGGUAACGGUCGCCGGGCGGGUGUACUUCCUCCUUAGUAGGUCGACGCGGCCGUUGCGGCGUUGCCUAUGGCCCGGAGUUUUUGGGAACCGACUCGCUGUCCCCUCGUCGGCCUUUUAGGAAGGCGGGGAUCAGGGCAGCGGGCGGGGACGCUCCGGUGUCCUGGACGGACGUCCCGCGACGGUGUUGUAAAGGCGGACCGUUCUCCGGGUCUCACGAUCCGAAGACGGCGUAACUCUUUAGUUUACGUAAUUCCGUACGCGUCGCAGAGUGUGCGAUCGUUCAUCCGUCCCGUCUUGAAACACGGACCAAGGAGUCUUGCACGUGCGCGAGUCAUAGGGUUGGCUAAACCCUCAGGCGCAACGAAAGCGAAAAAGUCGAUGGGGCGUCGCCUCGCAAGGGGCGGUCGCUCCUUCGGCGUUGGGCCGAUCCGAAAAGCCUAUUCCGUCCACCUCCUUUUGAGAUCGGGCCCUCGGUUGAGGGGGUUUACUUCCUCUUCCGGGGGGGCCGCGGGAGUGGCGGCUCGAAACAAAGAGAGGCUGCGGCGCAGGCCCGGGGCUCGUCGAUUUACCCUCCCGGCGUCCCGUCGGCCGCGGCCCUCCUUUCAACGGGAGGGUCGCGCGAUUUCGACGGAAUUAGGCGCCGGGAUGGUCGGCGGGUACCUAGAGCGUACAUGCAAGUACCCGAAAGAUGGUGAUCUAUGCCUGGCCAGGAUGAAGCCAGAGGAAACUCUGGUGGAGGUCCGUAGCGAUUCUGACGUGCAAAUCGAUCGUCGGAGUUGGGUAUAGGGGCGAAAGACCAAUCGAACCAUCUAGUAGCUGGUUCCCUCCGAAGUUUCCCUCAGGAUAGCUGGUGCUCAAUACUUUCGGGGGCGGCUAGGGUCCGGCGAGGCGGGCGCCUCCGUCGUCGUGCUUCCGUUCUUCCCCCGCGUUUGCGGUCGAUGUAGGGAGGGCGGAGUGGGGUUCGUCGCCGUUCGGUGGGAGCGCGGGGGGUUCGUCCUCUCGCGAAGAAACCGGUGCGCGCGGCGAUUUUCCACAUCGUUUCUCCCUCUCGGCAUUAAUUGCGGGGACCGGUUUUGCGCGACGGCGUUCUCGAGCGUCCCGUCUCAAAACGAAGCCACCCUUUGACGUUAAUUCGGUAAGCCCCCCCUUUACGAGUUUCAUCCUGUAAAGAUAAUGAUUAGGGGUCCUUGGGGAAGAAAUUUCCUCAGCCCAUUCUCAAACUCUAAAUGGGUGAGAAGCCGGGCUGCUCGAUGAAGCCUCGGCCUCGAAUCGAAUCGGAGUGCCUAGUGGGCCAUUUUUGGUAAGCAGAACUGGCGCUGUGGGAUGAACCAAACGCCGAGUUAAGGGGCCUAAGUAUUGGCCAAUAAAGAUCCCGUGAAAGGCGUUGGUCGCUCAGGACAGCAGGUCGGUGGCCAUGGAAGUCGGCAUCCGCCAAGGAGUGUGUAACAACUCACCUGCCGAAGCGACUAGCCCUGAAAAUGGAUGGCGCUCAAGCCAAUCCCCGAUACUCGGCCGUCGGUGGCAAUGACGGCUAACAGGGGAUGAAGGAACGGGGCUCGCUGGCGAUGCGGUUGCGAAAGAUUGGCGGGAUAAGGGAAGCCUCUAUCGGUUCCGUUUACCGGGAUCGUGUGGGUCUCCUUCCCCUCUCGUUUCUCCUUUCGCGCCGUUCUCCUUCCCCGUUCCGCCCCGCUAGUAGUCUCGAAGCCCCGACGAGUAGGAGGGCGCGACGGUGAGCGCAGAAGGUCAGGGCGUGAGCCCGACUGGAGCCGCCGUCGGUGCAGAUCUUGGUGGUAGUAGCAAGCACUCGGCUGAGAAGCAAACCUCGACCGAGGACUGAGCGGAGAAGGGUUCCUCGUCAACUGCGUUUGAACGAGGGUUAGUCGAUCCUAAGCCCCCGGCUAGCGCCCGUUGGAGGGCGCGGCCGAACGACACAAUAAAUCAACGCCUAAUAACGUCAAUAGCGAAAAUGGCGAUGAGUUGAGCAUGCGCACGUCGCACUCGGGGCGAAAGGGAAUCCGGUGAAUAUUCCGGAACCAGGCGUGGGGAACGUACUUUUUGGCGAAUUUGCUCCUGGCAUUUCCCUGAGCUCCCGGUAACGGAAGACAGAGCCGUGUCCGCUGGCGGCGGUCCGGGGAGGAGCUUGCUCUUUUCUUCAUGAGGCGUCGUGGACCCUGGAAUCAGCUCGCUGGGCGAAAGGGUUUAGACAUCCCACGAUCGCUGCCGAAGAGCGCCGCGGUUGCUGCGGCGUCCCGCGCGCCGUCGCCGGCCCUUGAAACCACGGCCGAGGGUGUGCCUUUAUAACGGGGCCUAAUCUUCGCGUGUAGCCCGUACCGAUUCCGCAUCAGUUCCGAGUGACAGGUG
This 2871-nucleotide ribosomal RNA is filed under the name Cyathura sp. BEB-2013. RNAcentral's name for it is "partial 28S ribosomal RNA". It matches the Rfam family "Eukaryotic large subunit ribosomal RNA", at positions 76 to 1880 of the family's 3401-position model. Lineage: Eukaryota; Metazoa; Arthropoda; Malacostraca; Isopoda; Anthuridae. The record is from RNAcentral.